AGCAAGGACAGCACCAAGUUUCAGGGGGAUCGAUAGGUCACACAUAUCUAAUUUUUUUAUGAUUAGUAUUUUUAUUAUUGUUAGAUGAUAAAACAUGAAUAAUACUUUAUCCAUGACUUAUUUUUUUAAAUUUUUUUAUAAUUUUUUUAAAUAAGACGAACGGUCAAACGUUAGACACGAAAACUCAGGAAUUGAGUUUUU
This 201-nucleotide microRNA precursor is filed under the name Oryza meridionalis. RNAcentral describes it as "MIR812 microRNA precursor family". It matches the Rfam family "MIR812 microRNA precursor family". The record is from Rfam by way of RNAcentral. Lineage: Eukaryota; Viridiplantae; Streptophyta; Magnoliopsida; Poales; Poaceae.